AGAACGAACGCUGGCGGCAUGCCUAAUACAUGCAAGUCGAACGAAGGCUUCGGCCUUAGUGGCGCACGGGUGCGUAACGCGUGGGAAUCUGCCCCUUGGUUCGGAAUAACAGUUGGAAACGACUGCUAAUACCGGAUGAUGACGAAAGUCCAAAGAUUUAUCGCCAAGGGAUGAGCCCGCGUAGGAUUAGCUAGUUGGUGAGGUAAAGGCUCACCAAGGCGACGAUCCUUAGCUGGUCUGAGAGGAUGAUCAGCCACACUGGGACUGAGACACGGCCCAGACUCCUACGGGAGGCAGCAGUAGGGAAUAUUGGACAAUGGGCGAAAGCCUGAUCCAGCAAUGCCGCGUGAGUGAUGAAGGCCUUAGGUUGUAAAGCUCUUUUACCCGAGAUGAUAAUGACAGUAUCGGAGAAUAAGCCCGGCUAACUCCGUGCCAGCAGCCGAC
Molecule: ribosomal RNA, 444 nt
Filed under: uncultured soil bacterium
Lineage: Bacteria
Description: bacterial SSU rRNA
Rfam family: Bacterial small subunit ribosomal RNA
Source: RNAcentral